UGAGCGACCUACCUAAUUGUGGGGGAUAGCCGGCCCAACGGCCGGGUAAUACCGCGUACGACCACAUGGGGACAUCCCUGAGUGGUGAAAGCAGCAAUGCGCCGAUGGAGUGCCUCGCGGCCUAUCAGCUAGUUGGUGAGGUAACGGCUCACCAAGGCGACGACGGGUAGCUGGU
RNAcentral lists this ribosomal RNA (175 nucleotides) under uncultured bacterium. RNAcentral describes it as "partial 16S ribosomal RNA". It matches the Rfam family "Bacterial small subunit ribosomal RNA", at positions 118 to 291 of the family's 1533-position model. The record is from RNAcentral.